GUUAUACGAGUGACACAAAUUAAUAUCCUACGGCGUUAAGGGUGAUUAGAAACCAUCUUACCAAAAAUAAAGUUGAGACCCCAUCAAGCUGUCAUACGCUAUUAUGACUGGAACUAUCACUCACGAAAGUAACUUUAUAUAAGACAGAGCUUUUGACCUCACGACAGUUAAGACCCAAACUAGGAUUAGAUACCCUACUAUGCUUAACCAUAAACAUUGUUAAAUUAAUCUUACCUUAAUACCCGCCCGAAUACUACAAGCGCUAGCUUAAAAUCCAAAGGACUUGGCGGUGCUCCAAACCCACCUAGAGGAGCCUGUUCUAUAACCGAUAAUCCGCGUUCAACCUCACCACUUCUUGCCCUCCCAGCCUAUAUACCGCCGUCGUCAGCUUACCCUAUGAAGGCAUAACAGUAAGCAUAAUGACCUUUUUUCCCCCUCAAUACGUCAGGUCGAGGUGUAGCGAAUGAAGUGGAAAGAAAUGGGCUACAUUCUCUCUUUAGAGUACACGAACAGAAAUAUGAAAAACUUCUUAAAGGUGGAUUUAGCAGUAAGUAAACUUUAGAACAUUAUACUGAAACCGGCUCUGGAGCGCGCACACACCGCCCGUCACUCUCCUCAAAAAUUACUCCUAAUCUUACAUAAAAAAACUUUACCAUAAGAGGAGGCAAGUCGUAA
This 675-nucleotide ribosomal RNA is filed under the name Pastinachus sephen (cowtail stingray). Its description in RNAcentral is "partial 12S ribosomal RNA". It matches the Rfam family "Bacterial small subunit ribosomal RNA", at positions 520 to 1491 of the family's 1533-position model. Lineage: Eukaryota; Metazoa; Chordata; Chondrichthyes; Myliobatiformes; Dasyatidae. The record is from RNAcentral.